This 1326-nucleotide long non-coding RNA is filed under the name Homo sapiens (human). RNAcentral's name for it is "non-protein coding lnc-PIGR-2:1". The record is from RNAcentral. Lineage: Eukaryota; Metazoa; Chordata; Mammalia; Primates; Hominidae.
GACAACUACCAAGGCUGAUAGGCCAAGGGAGGACAUAGAGGGGGUCAGGAUAGCUCUUGAUGCAGCCAAAAAGGUCCUAGGAACCAUUGGGCCACCAGCUCUGGUCUCAGAAACUUUGGCCUGGGAAAUCCUCCCACAAGCAACGCCAGUUUCUAAGCAACAAUCUCAGGGUUCCAUUGGAGAAACAACUCCAGCUGCAGGCAUGUGGACCUUGGGAACUCCAGCUGCAGAUGUGUGGAUCUUGGGAACUCCAGCUGCAGAUGUGUGGACCAGCAUGGAGGCAGCAUCUGGGGAAGGAAGCGCUGCAGGGGACCUAGAUGCUGCCACUGGAGACAGAGGUCCCCAAGCAACACUGAGCCAGACCCCGGCAGUAGGACCCUGGGGACCCCCUGGCAAGGAGUCCUCCGUGAAGCGGUAACCCCAGGCACCUUCUCCCGGUUGGGGGGCCCCACAUCUGCCUCAUCCCUGGCAUGCAAGGGAGGCCCCUCUCCCUCUGCUCACUUCUCUCCCUUUGUACCCACAAGACAGUGACAUACACAUCGGAUGCCCUCCCUCACCCAAGGGGCCUUGCUGUGAGAACGCUCCCUGAGUAUUUCCAUGUGGUUUUCAAGUGAUAUCUAAAUGAUAGAAAGACAAUAUUUAGGCUGGAACCUUCAUUAGGACUUUCUGUUUUUAAAGAUAAAGAAUAGGCGCUCCGGAGAGAGGGGGUGAUGCACUGAAGCCACAAGGAAAGGUUGUGGCAGAGCCCAGUGCUGAGGCUGGAGUCGCUUGCUCCCACCUAGUCCUCUUUCUCACUGGGAGGCAUCGCAGGGCCCACACACAGAUGGGUGGAAGAGGGAAAAGGAUUCAGGCUUGGAAGCCUGAAGACAGAGAUUCUAGCCCCAAGCUCUGACACUAACCAGCCAUGGGAACCAGGGCUGCCCAUUUGCUUUGGCCUCAGCUCCCCAAUCUGUAAAGUAAGGAUGUGGGUAAAUGGUCUUUAAUCUUCUGCCCAGCUCCAACCUCCUCUCCCCUGUGCUCUUUCCACCCCCACUGUAGUACUUUUCCAGAAGAUGAAAGCAGCUCUCGGACCCUGGCUCCUGUCUCUACCAUGCUGGCCCUGUUUAUGCUUAUGGCUCUGGUUCUAUUGCAAAGGAAGCUCUGGAGAAGGAGGACCUCUCAGGAGGCAGAAAGGGUCACCUUAAUUCAGAUGACACAUUUUCUGGAAGUGAACCCCCAAGCAGACCAGCUGCCCCAUGUGGAAAGAAAGAUGCUCCAGGAUGACUCUCUUCCUGCUGGGGCCAGCCUGACUGCCCCAGAGAGAAAUCCAGGACCCUGAGGGACAGA